UCAUGUUGGUGAACAGGCAUUUGCAGAAAGUCCUCUUCACAGCAGAUGAAGCUCACUGUGCAUCCCAUCCGAGCAAACCCAGAGCGCACACGUCCAAACCCAUUCAAAACUUCACGCCUCUGCUGCAGAUGAACGGGGCGUGGUUAUCGCACAGAUUCAGACCAAAGCAGCAAGACCGAACACAGCCUCUGAGACCGCCGGAGGCCUGGUUGACGACAGGGAAUACAGUACCGAGAUUCUAAACAGGAAGGGGAGGAAUUCAAAAGCACACUCACAUGAAGCUGCUUUUUCCACACCCCGGGGGGCCAUACAGCAGAUAUCCUCUUCUGUAGGGGAUGCCUGCAUGGACAAAAACAAAACAUUAACACUCACACAGAUGACCAUCGGCGAAUAAAAUUCCACCACAUUUUGCUUUUCAGAAAAGGUAAUUUAACAAAAAAAAAUUAUUUAUUAGGAACAUUCUCGCUAUUUUGCAUGUUUUAGUUUUUAACUACAAAUCGUACAUAUGUUACAUCACUGCUAUUGGUUUCAACUUAUUCCAGUACAGUAUGAAAAUCAGCUUACAGAUGUUUAUUUUCUGUGUUUUUGUUAACUUUAAAAGGUAUGUUAUUGACCCCUGGUACUGCAGUUGUGAGCUGGAACUUCUUUGAAAAGUGAAAUGAUGCAUUCACGUGCAUGUGGGAAACUGCACUUGCACAAGACUCCAAAACAUUUGGACAACUGCCUAUCUCAAUCCUCACAUUUUAGUUUCACUGAAUGCCCCAACAAGAAAGACUUUUCAUAACAGAAACGGCCUGCGGGCACAACACCUCACCUCGCAUCAAUAACCGUCAUGAUAGGAAAACAUAAAUCAUAUAACCAGGUAAUAUGAAUUUAUAUGAAAAUAAAACACUCAAAGACAACUUCCAUAUACACUGAAUGAACGAGUUCGAGCCCUUGACUAA
Molecule: long non-coding RNA, 944 nt
Organism: Siniperca chuatsi (mandarin fish)
Lineage: Eukaryota; Metazoa; Chordata; Actinopteri; Centrarchiformes; Sinipercidae
Exons: 3
Source: RefSeq, a predicted model, not a curated record